GAUGAACGCUGGCGGCGUGCCUAAUACAUGCAAGUCGAGCGAACAGACGAGGAGCUUGCUCCUCUGACGUUAGCGGCGGACGGGUGAGUAACACGUGGAUAACCUACCUAUAAGACUGGGAUAACUUCGGGAAACCGGAGCUAAUACCGGAUAAUAUAUUGAACCGCAUGGUUCAAUAGUGAAAGACGGUUUUGCUGUCACUUAUAGAUGGAUCCGCGCUGCAUUAGCUAGUUGGUAAGGUAACGGCUUACCAAGGCAACGAUGCGUAGCCGACCUGAGAGGGUGGUCGGCCACACUGGAACGGAAACAGCGUCCAGACUCCUACGGGAGGCAGCAGAAGGGAAUCUUACGCAAUGGGCGGAAGCCUGACGGAGCAACGCCGCGUGAGAGAUGAAGAUCCUCGGAGCGUGAAACUCUGUUUUUAGUGAAGAACAAAUGUGUAAGUAGCUGUGCACGGCUUGACGGUACCUAAUCAGAAAGCCACGGCUAACUACGUG
RNAcentral lists this ribosomal RNA (497 nucleotides) under uncultured bacterium. RNAcentral's name for it is "partial 16S ribosomal RNA". It matches the Rfam family "Bacterial small subunit ribosomal RNA", at positions 28 to 507 of the family's 1533-position model. The record is from RNAcentral.